Long non-coding RNA from Pieris napi, 498 nucleotides. RefSeq lists it as uncharacterized. Lineage: Eukaryota; Metazoa; Arthropoda; Insecta; Lepidoptera; Pieridae. The transcript has 2 exons. The record is from RefSeq and is a predicted model, not a curated record.
CCUAGCCUAUAUUGUCACUUUGAAAGAUGGAUGAUUACAAUAAUUAAAAUUUAGCCUCCAAUAUAAAAACAUAAAUUGGCUGAUAAUGGAUUGACCAUUGAAUAUCUUUAACAUGGUAUAAUCAUUCAUGCUUUACCAAAUGGCGCAGAUACCAAAUGAAUCACCUACUAAGAAACUACAAACAAGGUUACUGCAUGCCUUAAAUGUUAUUACAUCUAUAAAACAGAGUAAACCUCCAACAAAGCCAAGUAGGGUUUCACAAUUCUUUCAACCAUUUAAAAAUGAUAGACUAUUAUUUUAUACUUUUGUUACAUUUUUAACUGUACUAGUUUUAUACUUUUUAACAAAAGACUGGAAAGGAAUCACCGCCCCCGAAGAAAUUGAUUUAGGAUCGGUUAGAAUUUUAUCCCGUCAUCACAGAAGACAUACACGAAGGUGUCACGAAUACUAGUUUCAAAUGUAAUUUUACUAUAGCAAAUUAUAGUCUAUAAUAUUUUA